RNAcentral lists this unclassified non-coding RNA (244 nucleotides) under plant metagenome. RNAcentral's name for it is "partial contains small subunit ribosomal RNA, internal transcribed spacer 1, and 5.8S ribosomal RNA". The record is from RNAcentral.
UUUCCGUUGGUGAACCAGCGGAGGGAUCAUUACCGAGUUUACAACCCCCAAACCCAAUGUGAACCAUACCAAACUGUUGCCUCGGCGGGGUCACGCCCCGGGUGCGUCGCAGCCCCGGAACCAGGCGCCCGCCGGAGGGACCAACCAAACUCUUUCUGUAGUCCCCUCGCGGACGUUAUUUUUACAGCUCUGAGCAAAAAUUCAAAAUGAAUCAAAACUUUCAACAACGGAUCUCUUGGUUCUG